Molecule: ribosomal RNA, 366 nt
Filed under: uncultured organism
Description: bacterial SSU rRNA
Rfam family: Bacterial small subunit ribosomal RNA
Source: RNAcentral
CGGAGGGUGCAAGCGUUAUCCGGAUUCACUGGGUUUAAAGGGUGCGUAGGUGGGUCUGUAAGUCAGUGGUGAAAUCUCCGAGCUUAACUCGGAAACUGCCAUUGAUACUAUAGGUCUUGAAUUAUCUGGAGGUAAGCGGAAUAUGUCGUGUAGCGGUGAAAUGCUUAGAUAUGACAUAGAACACCAAUUGCGAAGGCAGCUUACUACGGAUACAUUGACACUGAGGCACGAAAGCGUGGGGAUCAAACAGGAUUAGAUACCCUGGUAGUCCACGCCCUAAACGAUGGAUACUCGACAUCAGCGAUACACUGUCGGUGUCUGAGCGAAAGCAUUAGUAUCCCACCUGGAAGUACGACCGCAAGGUUG